UGGAACCGGUCCCGGGCGAAGGUGAGGAACCGGUCCCUUGGAUAAAGUAAAGAAGCGCUACCUAAAGACCCUAGCAGCCGUGCCACUUCUUGGAACCAGGAGACGGGAUUGAUGUAAAGGUCCACCGAC
This is a long non-coding RNA of Gopherus evgoodei (Goodes thornscrub tortoise), 129 nucleotides long. RefSeq lists it as uncharacterized. NCBI's taxonomy places the organism in Eukaryota, Metazoa, Chordata, Testudines, Testudinidae. The transcript is spliced from 2 exons. The record is from RefSeq and is a predicted model, not a curated record.